Molecule: ribosomal RNA, 216 nt
Filed under: Glomeromycotina sp.
Lineage: Eukaryota; Fungi; Glomeromycota
Description: partial small subunit ribosomal RNA
Rfam family: Eukaryotic small subunit ribosomal RNA (bases 40-216)
Source: RNAcentral
AGGUCAGUAGGUUGGUCGUGCCACCGGUACGUACUGGUCUUACUGAUUCCUCCUUCCUGAAGAACCGUAAUGCCAUUAAUUUGGUGUUGCGGGGAAACAGGACUGUUACUUUGAAAAAAUUAGAGUGUUUAAAGCAAGCUAACGCUUGAAUACAUUAGCAUGGAAUAAUGAAAUAGGACGAUCGAUCCUAUUUUGUUGGUUUCUAGGAUUGACGUA